This 1947-nucleotide long non-coding RNA is filed under the name Homo sapiens (human). Its description in RNAcentral is "HSALNT0281043". The record is from RNAcentral. Lineage: Eukaryota; Metazoa; Chordata; Mammalia; Primates; Hominidae.
AGUGGAACAACUGGAUAUACAAAUAUGAAAAAAAGUGUCUGGAACACUUCUUCACACUAUACAAAAAUCCAUUCUAGGAGGGAUUAAGUCCUUACUUUAAAUAUUUUAUGAUGAAAAUGUUUAAACUUACAAAAUAGUAGAGAAGAAUAAAAAUAAUUUUACAUAUAUGUUUUUCUCAACUAGGGAGACAACAGCACUGGGCAAGCAGGACGUAUGGAAGUUAUGUACUGAAAGACUGGUGACACUAGUCAAGUGAAUAACAGUAGGGCUGGCUGGGUAACAUGUGAGCUGGAGAGGAAGAGAUGAAAUGGUAACACUUUUGGCUUAGAAACUUGGAACAUAAAGAAUGAAGAAAAACCAGAAGGAAGAGUUACUAUCUGGCAGGAACACAUUUUCCCCCUUAGCCCUGAAGAGUACGCAGACCAUUGUUAGCAAGGAAGCUAGCUUGUUUUUUGCACCAAAGGAAAGCUAAGGGAACCUCCUAAAAUGCCAUGUACGGGUAGAGAAGAGAUCAUGGUUGAUAACAACAAACAAAAAGGCUUCCAGCUGACUGGAUGGUAUCUACACACGUUGAGGGUGGCUCUUCCCCCACUUAGCCCAUCUAGACUCACACACCAAUGUCCUCUGAAAAGACCCUAACAGACAUACCCAGAAAUAAUGCUUUACCAGUUCUCUAGGUAUUCCUUAAUUUACUCAAGCUGACACGUAAAAUCAGCCAUCACAAAAUCACCCGUUGUCAACUUUGCACCCAUUUGUAUCUCCUUAAAUCAUAAUUUCCUGCAUACAACCAAAAAUGCACUAAUUCCUUUCUAGAAGAAAAGAUAAAGUCAUUGGGUGAUGUUUACUCUUCUCCUGAUAUCCCAUAACAUAUACUAUACUUUUUUUUUUUUUGAGACAGUCUUGCUCUGUUGCCCAGGAUGGAGUGCAGUGGCAUGGUCUCAGCUCACUGCAACCUCUGCCUCCCGGGUUCAAGCAAUUUUAGUACCUCAGCCUCCCGAGUAGCUGGGAUUACAGGCAUGCACCACCACCCCCGGCUAAUUUUUGUAUUUUUAGUAAAGACGGGGUUUCACCAUGUUGGCCAGGCUGGACUCGAACUCCUGGCCUCAGGUGAUCCACCCGCCUUGAUCUCCCAAAGUGCUAGGAUUACAGGUGUAAGCCACCAUUGCCCAGCCUAUGAUAUAAAUUUAACAAUACUUAAAUACUGAUAUAAAGUCAAUAAAUUUUAUGUUACAUGAUAAAGAAAUAAAAGAAAGAAUAUGUACUUAAUAUUGAAAGCCACCAUUUUAGCUAAUAGUAAUGAUUCAGAGAACGUUAAGAGGAUAUACUUUCCAAAUAAUUAACCAAUGUAGUUGCUCAAUAAAUAUUUGUUGAAUUAAAUGAAUAACCAAUGUCUCAAAUCCUAAGGCUAGUGAAAUAUUAUGUAGGAAUUCUGUUUAAACUAGUGAAAUAGAGAUUUACGUAUCCCUCAGUUGAUACUGCUUAUGGACUUGCUAGGAAUAAAGCCAGCUGUCUUUACAGUCUUUCUAUAAGAAGUGUAAGACCAUAGCUAGUUCUUCUGUUAUUUAUUGAAUCAUAUACAGUGUAGGUUUAUUAAUGUCUAGAUCAGCUAUAAUUUGAUCAUAUGUGUAGAAACUUUUAUUAAAGUCUAAAAACAAUAUUCUUGGAGUAAAUGUUAUCUGGACAGUACAUUUCCAAAAUAGAUUCUACCUAUUAAAUUUGUAGGUGUUGUGUUACAGAAAAGUAAGGAGUAUUCUUCUUAUACAGGUCACAAAAUAACAGUUACAGACCUGAAUUUGGGAAAUAAUUUAGGACUGUCAGAAAGCUCUACCAGCUGAGAGGUUUUAGCAAAAUAAUAAUUAAUUAUUUCAAUUUCCCAUCAAGCCUUCUACAAUUUACUCUGUACCUGCACCCUUGUGUGUUACCAUCACAUUCACAUUCUAGCACAAC